Molecule: unclassified non-coding RNA, 382 nt
Filed under: soil metagenome
Description: partial contains 5.8S ribosomal RNA, internal transcribed spacer 2, and large subunit ribosomal RNA
Rfam family: 5.8S ribosomal RNA (bases 1-120)
Source: RNAcentral
GAUGAAGAGCGCAGCGAAAUGCGAUAAGUAAUGUGAAUUGCAGAAUUCAGUGAAUCAUCGAAUCUUUGAACGCACCUUGCACCCUUUGGCAUUCCGAAGGGUAUGCUCGUUUGAGUGUCAUUGUACUCUCACACUUCUGAUCCUUUGGAUUGGGAGCGGUGGACUUGGGUGUUGCUGCUUUACUGUGGCUCACCUCAAAUGCAUUCGUGCAACUCUUGGUUGGACAUAGUACGGCGUGAUAAGUAUCUUCGCCGGCACCUCGCAAGAGGGUGGCUGAUCAGGAGCUCUGUGCUUUCCAACUGUCUUCAGACAACAACUGACAACUUGACCUCAAAUCGAGUAGGACCACCCGCUGAACUUAAGCAUAUCAAUAAGCGGAGGA